CCAGUAGGUGACCUGCGGUAGGAUCAUU
This 28-nucleotide ribosomal RNA is filed under the name Taxus mairei. Its description in RNAcentral is "partial 18S ribosomal RNA". The record is from RNAcentral. Lineage: Eukaryota; Viridiplantae; Streptophyta; Pinopsida; Cupressales; Taxaceae. RNAcentral also lists the same sequence under 2 other names.